UCUAUCUGGGCUCGUCAGGAAAGUUCGUUUCAGGGACCUUUCUUCUCCGUCGUCUCUAACCCAAACCCUAAUCUUCAUCUUCCAACCAACAUGUCGCACUUCGGAAGGUCCGGUCCUCCAGAUAUUGCAGACACCUAUUCGCUUCUCGUGCUCAACAUUACCUUCCGAACCACUGCUGAUGAUCUCUACCCGCUGUUCCACAAGUAUGGUAAGGUUGUCGAUAUCUUCAUCCCCAGAGACCGAAGAACUGGUGAUUCUAGAGGUUUUGCAUUUGUGCGUUACAAGUAUGCAGAUGAGGCUCAGAAAGCAGUGGAAAGGCUAGAUGGUAUUGUGGUUGAUGGACGAGAGAUCACCGUUCAGUUUGCAAAAUAUGGUCCAAAUGCAGAAAGGAUUCACAAAGGAAAGGUCAGUGAAUCAUUUCCAAAGUCGAGAUACAGGUCUAGAAGUCGCAGUCCACGGAGACGACAUCGGGAUGAUCACAGAGAUAGGGAUUAUAGGAGAAGAAGUCGAAGCAGAAGUAGAAGCAGAAGCUUGGACAGGAUUGAUCAUGAUAGGCGUGGAAGAGAAAGGGAGAGGGAAAGAGACUAUCGUAGGCGAAGCCGGAGCAUCAGUCCUAGGCGGCCUAGUCCUGAUUAUUCCAAGGGGAGGGGAAGAGGACGCUACAUUGACGAGCGUAGAAGCCGCAGCCGCAGCCGCAGCCGCAGCCGUAGCCAUAGCCAUAGCCAAAGUCGUGGCCGUGGUCGUGGUCGUUCUGUGGAUAGGUUUGCUUCUCCUGGUCGACAAAGCCCUAGUCCAAGGAGUGCAUCUCCUCAUAGGAGUCCAUCUCCCAGGGGUGAAAGUCCUGAAAGAAAUGGUGAUGGUGGAAGGUCUCCAACUUCCAGGAGUGUUUCACCCCGAGGUCAACCUGCUGAUUCAAGAAGCCCAUCUCAACCAAAUUCAGAUGUUGAUAAGUGAAUACACUGAUGGAUGCAAGGAGAACUGUUGACAUUUCCGAGCAGUGCAGGAAUGGAUGCUUUGAGGACUCGUUGAUUAAAAAUGUUAUCAGACUAUAAGUUCUAGUUUUGUUAUGUUCGGGGUAAGAGUGACCGGCGCCUGAUUUGGCCGAUGUUGAUUUUGUGGCUCUUGAUGCUGUUUCUGUGUGAUAGAUGGGUGAUCGUGACUUUGAUGCUGGUUGCAGCAGUUUGCUGAUUUAUCAGUAUGAUUGUCUAUGCAGUAUGAUGUUGCUGUGGACAGUGUCUUAACUAAUAUUCACUGGAUGAAAAAAUUAUUGGUAAGGUUUUGGCCACAUUUUAAAUGUUUUUAAAAACUUGAUAAUGCUUUUAGGAUUUGAUGUUUGGCCUGAUUAUUCAUUCUGGUCUAUCCAAGUUUUGAAAGUUGCACCUCACCUGCCAAGGAGAUCUAGAGGCUUUGAUAUAUAGGGUUGACCCUCCUCUGUUGAUCGAAUUUUACUCAUAGCUGAUGAUGCAUUUGAGAUCGGUAUUGAUUUUAAUGGCGAAGGCUGGAUUAAGAAAACUUAGCUGCAGGUUUGAUCUUUGCGUCCGAACAUGAUUGGCCACGGUAACAUAAGUUUAUAGUUUUGUGUAUUAGUUUAUAGUUGUGUAUUAUCCGAACAUGACAGGUACUAUCCCAAACAUUUAAAUCAAUCUCUUGCUUGCUGCUUGAUGUGGUGACUGACUUAUUGUAGCUUUUGGAUACACAAUUGUUGCGGUGGUGUUUGAUAGCAGAUAUCUUUAUUGAUGUACGAUAGUCAUCGGUUCGAUUGAUUGAUUGAUUCUGAAGUGCUAACGCUGUAGCUGGCUGUUGCUGCCCUUGUGGGGGUGAGGCUGGCAAUGAUGUUUGCAGUUUGCUUUGACAAUGGAUGCAUUGAUCUUUGCUUGCCUC
Cucurbita moschata (crookneck pumpkin) is the source of this 1881-nucleotide RNA transcript. It is a transcript of the gene named serine/arginine-rich splicing factor SC35-like, with no coding region annotated. NCBI's taxonomy places the organism in Eukaryota, Viridiplantae, Streptophyta, Magnoliopsida, Cucurbitales, Cucurbitaceae. The record is from RefSeq and is a predicted model, not a curated record. The transcript is spliced from 9 exons.